UCUCAGUUCGGAUUNAAGGCUGAAAUUCGCCUUCAUGAAGCCGGAAUUGCUAGUAAUGGCAGGUCAGCAUACUGCCGUGAAUACGUUCCCGGGCCUUGUACACACCGCCCGUCACACCAUGAGAGUUGGGAAUACCCGAAGCCUGUGAGCUAACGAAAGAGGCAGCAGUCGAAGGUAGAAUCAAUGAUUGGGGUGAAGUCGUAACAAGGUAAC
This 213-nucleotide ribosomal RNA is filed under the name uncultured bacterium. RNAcentral describes it as "partial 16S ribosomal RNA". It matches the Rfam family "Bacterial small subunit ribosomal RNA", at positions 1286 to 1500 of the family's 1533-position model. The record is from RNAcentral.